This 460-nucleotide ribosomal RNA is filed under the name uncultured bacterium. RNAcentral's name for it is "partial 16S ribosomal RNA". It matches the Rfam family "Bacterial small subunit ribosomal RNA", at positions 338 to 795 of the family's 1533-position model. The record is from RNAcentral.
CCUACGGGUGGCAGCAGUGAGGAAUAUUGGUCAAUGGACGAAAGUCUGAACCAGCCAAGUAGCGUGAAGGAUGACUGCCCUAUGGGUUGUAAACUUCUUUUAUAUGGGAAUAAAAUGUUCCAUGUGUGGGAUUUUGUAUGUACCAUAUGAAUAAGGAUCGGCUAACUCCGUGCCAGCAGCCGCGGUAAUACGGAGGGUCCGAGCGUUAUCCGGAUUUAUUGGGUUUAAAGGGAGCGUAGGGGGAUUGUUAAGUCAGUUGUGAAAGUUCGCGGCUCAACCGUAAAAUUGCAGUUGAAACUGGCAGUCUUGAGUACAGUAGAGGUGGGCGGAAUUCGUGGUGUAGCGGUGAAAUGCUUAGAUAUCACGAAGAACUCCGAUUGCGAAGGCAGCUCACUGGACUGCAACUGACACUGAGGCUCGAAAGUGUGGGUAGCAAACAGGAUUAGAUACCCGUGUAGUC